GCCUGCCCAGUGACAAAGUUCAACGGCCGCGGUACCCUAACCGUGCGAAGGUAGCAUAAUCACUUGUUCUUUAAAUAGGGACUAGUAUCAACGGCACCACGAGGGUUGUACUGUCUCCUUUCUCCUAUCAGUGAAACUGAUCUCCCCGUGAAGAAGCGGGGAUAUUAAUAUAAGACGAGAAGACCCCAUGGAGCUUUAAACCCUACAACACCCCCACUCAUAUAUACCCUCUCAACCUAGGGGAACUGUUUGUUGGUUUUAGGUUGGGGUGACCGCGGAGUAUAAUUUAACCUCCACGACGAACGGGACUAUGCCCUAAUCCAAGAGCAACCACUCUAAGAAUCAAAAAUUUGAUGUAAAAUGAUCCGAUUUUCGAUCAACGAACCAAGUUACCCUGGGGAUAACAGCGCAAUCCAUUUCAAGAGCCCCUAUCGACAAAUGGGUUUACGACCUCGAUGUUGGAUCAGGGUAUCCCAGUGGUGCAGCCGCUACUAAAGGUUCGUUUGUUCAACGAUUAAAACCCUACGUGAUCUGA
Molecule: ribosomal RNA, 535 nt
Filed under: Conraua goliath
Lineage: Eukaryota; Metazoa; Chordata; Amphibia; Anura; Petropedetidae
Description: partial 16S ribosomal RNA
Rfam family: Bacterial large subunit ribosomal RNA
Source: RNAcentral